RNAcentral lists this ribosomal RNA (620 nucleotides) under Streptomyces sp. SCAUEA34. Its description in RNAcentral is "bacterial SSU rRNA". It matches the Rfam family "Bacterial small subunit ribosomal RNA", at positions 63 to 699 of the family's 1533-position model. The record is from RNAcentral. Lineage: Bacteria; Bacillati; Actinomycetota; Actinomycetes; Kitasatosporales; Streptomycetaceae.
CGAACGAUGAACCACUUCGGUGGGGAUUAGUGGCGAACGGGUGAGUAACACGUGGGCAAUCUGCCCUGCACUCUGGGACAAGCCCUGGAAACGGGGUCUAAUACCGGAUACUGACCCGCUUGGGCAUCCAAGCGGUUCGAAAGCUCCGGCGGUGCAGGAUGAGCCCGCGGCCUAUCAGCUAGUUGGUGAGGUAAUGGCUCACCAAGGCGACGACGGGUAGCCGGCCUGAGAGGGCGACCGGCCACACUGGGACUGAGACACGGCCCAGACUCCUACGGGAGGCAGCAGUGGGGAAUAUUGCACAAUGGGCGAAAGCCUGAUGCAGCGACGCCGCGUGAGGGAUGACGGCCUUCGGGUUGUAAACCUCUUUCAGCAGGGAAGAAGCGAAAGUGACGGUACCUGCAGAAGAAGCGCCGGCUAACUACGUGCCAGCAGCCGCGGUAAUACGUAGGGCGCGAGCGUUGUCCGGAAUUAUUGGGCGUAAAGAGCUCGUAGGCGGCUUGUCACGUCGGUUGUGAAAGCCCGGGGCUUAACCCCGGGUCUGCAGUCGAUACGGGCAGGCUAGAGUUCGGUAGGGGAGAUCGGAAUUCCUGGUGUAGCGGUGAAAUGCGCAGAUAUCA